Molecule: ribosomal RNA, 559 nt
Filed under: Escherichia coli
Lineage: Bacteria; Pseudomonadati; Pseudomonadota; Gammaproteobacteria; Enterobacterales; Enterobacteriaceae
Description: bacterial SSU rRNA
Rfam family: Bacterial small subunit ribosomal RNA
Source: RNAcentral
GACGGGUGAGUAGUGUCUGGGAAACUGCCUGAUGGAGGGGGAUAACUACUGGAAACGGUAUCUAAUACCGCAUAACGUCGCAAGACCAAAGAGGGGGACCUUCGGGCCUCUUGCCAUCGGAUGUGCCCAGAUGGGAUUAUCUAAUAGGUGGGGUAACGGCUCACCUAGGCGACUAUCCCUAUGUGGUCUGAGAGGAUGACCACCCACUCUGGAACUGAGACACGGCCCACACUCCUACGGGAGGCAGCAGUGGGGAAUAUUGCACAAUGGGCGCAAGCCUGAUGCACCCAUGCCGCGUGUAUGAAAAAGGCCUUCGGGUUGUAAAGUACUUUCAGCGGGGAGGAAGGGAGUAAAGUUAAUACCUUUGCUCAUUGACGUUACCCGCAAAAAAAGCACCGGAUAUCUCCGUGCCAGCAGCCGCGGUAAUACGGAGGGUGCAAGCGUUAAUCGGAAUUACUGGGCGUAAAGCGCACGCAGGCGGUUUGUUAAGUCAUAUGUGAAAUCCCCGGGCUCAACCUGGGACUGCAUCUGAUACUGGCAAGCUUGAGUCUCGUAGAGG